GAUGAACGCUGGCGGCGUGCCUAAUACAUGCAAGUCGAGCGAACAGACGAGGAGCUUGCUCCUCUGACGUUAGCGGCGGACGGGUGAGUAACACGUGGAUAACCUACCUAUAAGACUGGGAUAACUUCGGGAAACCGGAGCUAAUACCGGAUAAUAUAUUGAACCGCAUGGUUCAAUAGUGAAAGACGGUUUUGCUGUCACUUAUAGAUGGAUCCGCGCCGCAUUAGCUAGUUGGUAAGGUAACGGCUUACCAAGGCAACGAUGCGUAGCCGACCUGAGAGGGGGACGGGCCACCUUGGAAUGGAAACACGGUCCAGCUCCCUCGGGGGGGCAGGAGGAGGGAACUUUCGCAAAUGGGCGAAAGCUUGACGGAGCAACGCCGGGGGGGUGAUGAAGGUUUUGGGAUCGUAAAACCUUUUUUUUAGGGAAAAACAAAUGUGUAAGUAACUAUGCCCGUUUUGACGGUCCCAAAUAAGAAAGCCCGGCCUAACUACGU
RNAcentral lists this ribosomal RNA (496 nucleotides) under uncultured bacterium. RNAcentral's name for it is "partial 16S ribosomal RNA". It matches the Rfam family "Bacterial small subunit ribosomal RNA", at positions 28 to 506 of the family's 1533-position model. The record is from RNAcentral.